AUGUUAAAAAUUUGGCAUGAUACCAGGAAUAUAAACAAAAAUAUGAGGGUUUCAAACAGGGGAUGGAGGGAUGUUGAUGAGUCCAGAAAUAAGAUCGUCACUUCUUGCAACGUCAUAUUCUAUGACUUGCGAUUUCCAUUCCACUAUACGAAGAUCUUCAGUUCUUGCAAAGUUAUAUUCUAUGACUUGCGAUUUCCAUUCCAAAAUACGGCAACGGCUAACACGUCACCUAUUCAUAACCUCCUAUCUACCUUCGCGGGCCAUUCAUAUUGGAAUCAGUUUCUCCUUCACCUGAAUCUAGAAGGUCAAUCGGCAAAUACUUCUCAGCUUAUCUCCAAUCCAUGA
Molecule: non-coding RNA, 345 nt
Organism: Vicia faba (fava bean)
Lineage: Eukaryota; Viridiplantae; Streptophyta; Magnoliopsida; Fabales; Fabaceae
Source: the annotation of a GenBank genome assembly